GUCAUUAAACCUUUGGCACAAGCAGUACAAAGGACGCUGAGUUCAUGUUUAUACUAACUUAUCUGGAUAAAGGGAAAGCUGUUCCUUUAAAUUAUGUUUGCUGUGACUCUGGAAAGUGAGCAAACUAAGUCUGAGGGAAAGCUUCCCUUUCGAUCAGAACUGAUAGAAAGUACAAGGAUUGAAGGACACAGAUUUCCAGUAGGACGUACCUGCCUCAGCAGCCAGCACUCAACUGCAAGUUCCUUAUAACUUGGGGGAGUUUAGUCCAGAUUUGUUGGACAUACCUCAUCCAGACGGCAAAUGAGAGACUGGUUCAGACCCAGACUGCCAGACAAAGCUGAUGGAGUUAUGGAGGUUACCUGUCUUCUGCUGCUCCGCUGCUGAUGGAUCGUCUCAGUUGCCAUAGAGACAAGCUCUGGAAGCCAUGGACGGGCACAGCGCAGGAGCUGCCGGUGGGCUCUCUGCCGGUGGGCUCUGGCAAGGCGUUCCUCAGCAGGCAUUAGCAGAGGCAGGGUCAGUCUCUGAAGGUGAGGAAGAGUCACACACACGUUACAUUGCCAUCCAAAGAAAUUCCACGUACUAUCGGUCCAUGCGGCUGCGGAGCAGAGGGAAAAGAAAGGCUACGAGAGAGACAGUGAAUGUGGGGCGUGCUACAGGUUCACUCAGAAAUGAGGAGCCUGCCAAAGAGCCUCUGACUAUGGAGGUUUUAUCUCAGAAGGGAUCGGCACCUCUGGCAAAUGUUGAUAUGAAAGCUUUAGAAGAACUAUGGAUCCAAAGGGUUUCAUUCCCGGAGGGAGAARCGCACCAUAUGCACCAGAUCUGGAGGCAGCUCCGUAAAGCCCCCCUCUGCCACCCCCUCGCCUCCCUCAGAGCCGGCACCGGGCGCGGGCAGGCGGAGCGGGGCCGGGGGGCCGAGCCGUGCCCCAGGGCUGAGGGAGGAGAGGUCGCCGCCAGGGUAGGAGCCCCCCUUGGUGUGGGGCAGCGGGGGAG
This 990-nucleotide long non-coding RNA is filed under the name Dromaius novaehollandiae (emu). RNAcentral's name for it is "lncRNA (ENSDNVG00000018489.1)". The record is from RNAcentral. Lineage: Eukaryota; Metazoa; Chordata; Aves; Casuariiformes; Dromaiidae.